RNAcentral lists this ribosomal RNA (406 nucleotides) under uncultured bacterium. RNAcentral's name for it is "partial 16S ribosomal RNA". It matches the Rfam family "Bacterial small subunit ribosomal RNA", at positions 30 to 526 of the family's 1533-position model. The record is from RNAcentral.
AUUGAACGCUGGCGGCAGGCUUAACACAUGCAAGUCGCGCGAGCGGAGGACGGGUGAGUAAUGUCUGGGAAACUGCCUGAUGGAGGGGGAUAACUACUGGAAACGGUAGCUAAUACCGCAUACCAUCAGAUGUGCCCAGAUGGGAUUAGCUAGUAGGAGGGUGAAUGGCUCAACUAGGGGACGAUCCCUAGCUGAUCUGAGAGGAUGACCAGCCCCACUGUAACUGAGACACGGUCCAGAUUCCUACGGGAGUCAGCAGUGGUGAAUAUUGCCCAAUCGGCGCAAGCCUGAUGCAGCCAUGCCGCGUGUGUGAAGAAGGCCUUCGGGUUGUAAAGCACUUUCAGCGAGGAGGCGUUACUCGCAGAAGAAGCACCGGCUAACUCCGUGCCAGCAGCCGCGGUAAUAC